This 218-nucleotide ribosomal RNA is filed under the name uncultured bacterium. RNAcentral describes it as "partial 16S ribosomal RNA". It matches the Rfam family "Bacterial small subunit ribosomal RNA", at positions 1283 to 1500 of the family's 1533-position model. The record is from RNAcentral.
ACAUCUCAGUUCAGAUUGCAGGCUGCAACUCGCCUGCAUGAAGUCGGAAUUGCUAGUAAUCGUAGGUCAGCAUACUACGGUGAAUACGUUCCCGGGCCUUGUACACACCGCCCGUCAAACCAUGAGAGUUGGCAACACCCGAAGUCGGUAGUCUAACCGCAAGGAGGACGCCGCCGAAGGUGGGGUUGAUGAUUAGGGUUAAGUCGUAACAAGGUAAC